AGUGAACGCUGGCGGUAGGCCUAACACAUGCAAGUCGAGCGGCAGCACAGUAAGAGCUUGCUCUUACGGGUGGCGAGUGGCGGACGGGUGAGGAAUACAUCGGAAUCUACUUUUUCGUGGGGGAUAACGUAGGGAAACUUACGCUAAUACCGCAUACGACCUACGGGUGAAAGCAGGGGAUCUUCGGACCUUGCGCGAUUGAAUGAGCCGAUGUCGGAUUAGCUAGUUGGCGGGGUAAAGGCCCACCAAGGCGACGAUCCGUAGCUGGUCUGAGAGGAUGAUCGGCCACACUGGAACUGAGACACGGUCCAGACUCCUACGGGAGGCAGCAGUGGGGAAUAUUGGACAAUGGGCGCAAGCCUGAUCCAGCCAUACCGCGUGGGUGAAGAAGGCCUUCGGGUUGUAAAGCCCUUUUGUUGGGAAAGAAAAGCAGCAGGUUAAUACCCCGCUGUUCUGACGGUACCCAAAGAAUAAGCACCGGCUAACUUCGUG
Molecule: ribosomal RNA, 492 nt
Filed under: uncultured bacterium
Lineage: Bacteria
Description: partial 16S ribosomal RNA
Rfam family: Bacterial small subunit ribosomal RNA
Source: RNAcentral